AGGGGCUUGCUCCUUAAUUUAGUGGCGCACGGGUGAGUAACGCGUGGAUAACCUGCCCUGGUAUCUGGGAUAACAUCUCGAAAGGGGUGCUAAUACCGGAUAAGCCCACGAGCUCUUCGGAGCUUGCGGGAAAAGGUGGCCUCUGAAUAUGCUACUGUAUCAGGAUGGGUCCGCGUCCCAUUAGCUAGUUGGUAGGGUAAUGGCCUACCAAGGCGACGAUGGGUAGCUGGUCUGAGAGGAUGAUCAGCCACACUGGAACUGAGACACGGUCCAGACUCCUACGGGAGGCAGCAGUGGGGAAUUUUGCGCAAUGGGGGAAACCCUGACGCAGCAACGCCGCGUGAGUGAUGAAGGCCUUCGGGUCGUAAAGCUCUGUCAGAGGGAAAGAAGUGCAGUGGUGCUAAUACCGCCAUUGCUUGACGGUACCCUCAAAGGAAGCACCGGCUAACUCCGUGCCAGCAGCCGCGGUAA
This 471-nucleotide ribosomal RNA is filed under the name uncultured delta proteobacterium. RNAcentral describes it as "bacterial SSU rRNA". It matches the Rfam family "Bacterial small subunit ribosomal RNA", at positions 74 to 523 of the family's 1533-position model. Lineage: Bacteria; Deltaproteobacteria. The record is from RNAcentral.